Molecule: ribosomal RNA, 492 nt
Filed under: uncultured bacterium
Lineage: Bacteria
Description: partial 16S ribosomal RNA
Rfam family: Bacterial small subunit ribosomal RNA
Source: RNAcentral
AGUGAACGCUGGCGGUAGGCCUAACACAUGCAAGUCGAACGGCAGCACAGUAAGAGCUUGCUCUUACGGGUGGCGAGUGGCGGACGGGUGAGGAAUACAUCGGAAUCUACUUUUUCGUGGGGGAUAACGUAGGGAAACUUACGCUAAUACCGCAUACGACCUACGGGUGAAAGCAGGGGAUCUUCGGACCUUGCGCGAUUGAAUGAGGCGAUGUCGGAUUAGCUAGUUGGCGGGGUAAAGGCCCACCAAGGCGACGAUCCGUAGCUGGUCUGAGAGGAUGAUCAGCCACACUGGAACUGAGACACGGUCCAGACUCCUACGGGAGGCAGCAGUGGGGAAUAUUGGACAAUGGGCGCAAGCCUGAUCCAGCCAUACCGCGUGGGUGAAGAAGGCCUUCGGGUUGUAAAGCCCUUUUGUUGGGAAAGAAAAGCAGCAGGUUAAUACCCCGCUGUCCUGACGGUACCCAAAGAAUAAGCACCGGCUAACUUCGUG